UGCUCGGGUGAUACCAGCAAUAGGAAGUUUUGUCCGAGGCGACAACUGACGACCUCCCCCUCUUUUUAGCUGACC
RNAcentral lists this small nucleolar RNA (75 nucleotides) under Cricetulus griseus (Chinese hamster). RNAcentral's name for it is "Small nucleolar RNA SNORD49 (ENSCGRG00015031978.1)". It matches the Rfam family "Small nucleolar RNA SNORD49". Rfam says of the family: U49 belongs to the C/D class of snoRNA which contain the C (UGAUGA) and D (CUGA) box motifs. Most of the members of the box C/D family function in directing site-specific 2'-O-methylation of substrate RNAs. Lineage: Eukaryota; Metazoa; Chordata; Mammalia; Rodentia; Cricetidae. The record is from RNAcentral.